AAUGUCGUAACAAGGUUUCCGUAGGUGAAUCCUGCGGAAGGAUCAUUAUUUGGGGGUGUUCAGGAACCCUAGGUCACCCCCUAAAACGCCUUGAAAAUAUUAGCGGAAAUGGGGCCAGUAAUACAAUCGCAUGACGUUUGAAUCCAAGGGGCCAGCUAACCCGUGUUAUAUCUCUGUGCUUUCCGGGCGUCAUACCCCCGGAGAAACCCCAACUCUUGAAUUUUUAUGGAAGUCUGAGACUAUAUAAUAGUUAAAAU
RNAcentral lists this unclassified non-coding RNA (257 nucleotides) under plant metagenome. Its description in RNAcentral is "partial contains small subunit ribosomal RNA and internal transcribed spacer 1". The record is from RNAcentral.